GGGUCGAUAGCUCAGUUGGUAGAGCGGACGUCUUAUACACGUCUGGUCGCUGGUUCGAUCCCAGCUCGACCCACCA
RNAcentral lists this transfer RNA (76 nucleotides) under Patescibacteria group bacterium. RNAcentral's name for it is "tRNA-Ile". It matches the Rfam family "tRNA". Rfam says of the family: Transfer RNA (tRNA) molecules are approximately 80 nucleotides in length. Their secondary structure includes four short double-helical elements and three loops (D, anti-codon, and T loops). Further hydrogen bonds mediate the characteristic L-shaped molecular structure. tRNAs have two regions of fundamental functional importance: the anti-codon, which is responsible for specific mRNA codon recognition, and the 3' end, to which the tRNAs corresponding amino acid is attached (by aminoacyl-tRNA synthetases). tRNAs cope with the degeneracy of the genetic code in two manners: having more than one tRNA (with a specific anti-codon) for a particular amino acid; and 'wobble' base-pairing, i.e. permitting non-standard base-pairing at the 3rd anti-codon position. The record is from RNAcentral.